GAUAUGGCUCAGGACGAACGCUGGCGGCACGCUUAACACAUGCAAGUCGAACGAGAGAAGAGAAGCUUGCUUUUCUGAUCUAGUGGCGGACGGGUGAGUAACACGUGAGCAAUCUGCCUUUCAGAGGGGGAUACCGAUUGGAAACGAUCGUUAAUACCGCAUAAUAUAAUUGAACCGCAUGAUUUGAUUAUCAAAGAUUUAUCGCUGAAAGAUGAGCUCGCGU
This 223-nucleotide ribosomal RNA is filed under the name uncultured bacterium. Its description in RNAcentral is "partial 16S ribosomal RNA". It matches the Rfam family "Bacterial small subunit ribosomal RNA", at positions 15 to 236 of the family's 1533-position model. The record is from RNAcentral.